Molecule: long non-coding RNA, 243 nt
Filed under: Brassica napus (rape)
Lineage: Eukaryota; Viridiplantae; Streptophyta; Magnoliopsida; Brassicales; Brassicaceae
Description: long non-coding RNA (BNAP_LNC013664)
Source: RNAcentral
UGGUCGUCUUAUGGUCCCUUGGAGAUAGUAUAAGCCAUUGUUGUAUUUUCUAGUCAGAACCUUUAUACCACCUUUGUAGAAGUGGACCAUGUACCCUUUUCCAGUGUAGCUGCAACCGGAUUGUUCUAGCUGACCAUAGGAUAUCAAGUUUCUUCCCAUCUCAGGCAUGUAACGAACAUUGCUCAGAGUAACUGAUGACCCAUCCUCAUUGUCGAUGGUGAUCUUCCCCAUUCCUUUUACUAU